UGGAGUCGUUGUUGAAAUACCACUCUGAUCGGAUUGAGCAUCUAACCUUGGCCCAUGAUCUGGGUUGGGGACAGUGCCUGGUGGGUAGUUUAACUGGGGCGGUUGCCUCCCAAAAUGUAACGGAGGCGCCCAAAGGUUCCCUCAGCCUGGUUGGCAAUCAGGUGGUGAGUGUAAGUGCACAAGGGAGCUUGACUGUGAGAGAGACAUCUCGAGCAGGGACGAAAGUCGGGACUAGUGAUCCGGCACCUACUUGUGGAUGUGGUGUCGCUCAACGGAUAAAAGGUACCCCGGGGAUAACAGGCUGAUCUUCCCCAAGAGUCCAUAUCGACGGGAUGGUUUGGCA
This 343-nucleotide ribosomal RNA is filed under the name Anophryoides haemophila. RNAcentral describes it as "partial Bacterial large subunit ribosomal RNA". It matches the Rfam family "Bacterial large subunit ribosomal RNA", at positions 2181 to 2523 of the family's 2925-position model. Lineage: Eukaryota; Ciliophora; Oligohymenophorea; Philasterida; Glauconematidae. The record is from RNAcentral.